RNAcentral lists this ribosomal RNA (494 nucleotides) under uncultured bacterium. RNAcentral describes it as "bacterial SSU rRNA". It matches the Rfam family "Bacterial small subunit ribosomal RNA", at positions 899 to 1397 of the family's 1533-position model. The record is from RNAcentral.
ACUCAAAUGAAUAGACGGGGACCCGCACAAGCAGCGGAGCAUGUGGUUUAAUUCGAAGCAACGCGAAAAACCUUACCAAAACUUGACAUCAAGUGCAACUCUCAGAAAUGAGAGCCUCCUUCGGGACACGAAGACAGGUGGUGCAUGGUUGUCGUCAGCUCGUGUCGUGAGAUGUUCGGUUAAGUCCGGCAACGAGCGCAACCCCUAUAAUCAGUUGCCAUCAUUAAGUUGGGAACUCUGGUUAGACUGCCCGUGCAAGCGGGAGGAAGGUGGGGAUGACGUCAAAUCAUCAUGCCCCUUACGUUUUGGGCUACACACGUGCUACAAUGGGCGCUACAAAGAGCAGCAAGCCGGUAACGGUAAGCGAAUCUCAAAAAAGCGUUCUCAGUUCAGAUUGAGGGCUGCAACCCGCCCUCAUGAAGCAGGAGUUGCUAGUAAUCCCGAAUCAGCAUGUCGGGGUGAAUGCGUUCCCGGGUCUUGUACACACCGCCCGU